UUGGGCCUACGGGGCGCAGCAGUGGGGAAUAUUGGACAAUGGGGGCAACCCUGAUGCAGCGACGCCGCGUGAGCGAUGGAGUACUUCGGUAUGUAAAGCUCUGUCAGCAGGGAAGAGAAUGACGGUACCUGACCAAGAAGCCCCGGCUAAAUACGUGCCAGCAGCCGCGGUAAUACGUAUGGGGCAAGCGUUAUCCGGAUUUACUGGGUGUAAAGGGAGCGUAGGCGGCAGGGCAAGCCUGAUGUGAAAGCCCGGGGCUCACCCCCGGGACUGCAUUG
Molecule: ribosomal RNA, 278 nt
Filed under: uncultured bacterium
Lineage: Bacteria
Description: partial 16S ribosomal RNA
Rfam family: Bacterial small subunit ribosomal RNA
Source: RNAcentral